This is a long non-coding RNA of Eucalyptus grandis, 571 nucleotides long. RefSeq lists it as uncharacterized. The record is from RefSeq and is a predicted model, not a curated record. The transcript is spliced from 2 exons. NCBI's taxonomy places the organism in Eukaryota, Viridiplantae, Streptophyta, Magnoliopsida, Myrtales, Myrtaceae.
UCUGCCCUCGCGAGUCCGGUCAACACGGGCAUGUUCGCGAGCCUGCUAAGUCUCGUCAAUCUGAUUGCCCUAAGCUCUGCGUCUGAGCUCAUCAUCAAUGGCGGACUCCCCGAUUUCCCUCGACAAGCUCAAGGCUUUCUGGCGUUCCCAGGUUCAGGACGACGACAAUUGGGCUUUCAACAUGAAAAUGUUGCGAGCUGGUGGAUUGUUUGCAGGGUCUAUCUUCCUGAUGCGGCAGUAUGGCGACCUUAUGGCUGUGUGAUGAUCAACAGGAGUCACUAUGCCUUUGGAACCAUAUCACACCCUGGAUUUGAUAAGAUAGGAUGAAUUGAUGUUUAGCAGAAGCUCAUCCUGUUUUCUCCAUCUUAGUCACUUAGCCUGUUGUCAGAAUUCUCCAUUCAGAGUUUUUGAAGCAAUAUUUUGGAUACGGACAAAGACAGAUAUCUUCAUGCAUUAGCUGACGAUUUCUAUGGUUGUGUUUGAACAAUUUCUAGCUGUUGCAAGUAUUAGCCCUUACUGGUAUCUUGUUUGGAUGAACUAUUAGCAAUUUAGCAGUUGGAUGGCUUGGUUG